Non-coding RNA from Paramisgurnus dabryanus, 1368 nucleotides. The record is from RefSeq and is a predicted model, not a curated record. Lineage: Eukaryota; Metazoa; Chordata; Actinopteri; Cypriniformes; Cobitidae.
AACAAGUAAAAUCCCCCGUGAAUGGUUGGCAGAUGACUUCAAGCCAAUCACAAGGGAUUUUUCUUGUUUAAAAGUAGUGGCUUCAGCCAAUACCGAGUGAGUAAAUUCAAGUCGGGCCGUUACUCUAAAGAGGGGGGUUAUUGGGCACCCUGGCUCAUUAUAAAUGUAAACCCCAAUAAAUAAUAAUAAUAAUAAUAAUAAUAAAUAAUUUAUGUUAUCAUUUUUUAUAUAUUAAUGUCAUUGUGCUAUGUACUACAUUAUUCACAACAUCAAGGAAUAUAAGAAAAAGAAGUGAUUGAAGAAUUUGAAGAAACGCACCCAGCGAAUUUCAGUUCAGACAACGGUGAGCAUAAAUACAUAUUUUUUAUAUAAGCUUGGCUUGCUUUACGUAUGUUAUCAUUUUAAACAAUACUAAAACAUAUCAACAAGUAAAGUAAAAUAAAAUCAACAAGUUAAACAAAAACGUUGGAGUUAAAUGUGGUUGAUUAUCACUGUUGUUGUUAUUUUAAUAGUAAAUUAUAAUUGAAUAGGAAUAUCGCGUUAUAAUGCAUAACGUUAUCUUCUGUUUGUUGUUUUUCAGACGAAACAGCAGAUGACCAAAGCAUUCGUCUUUUCCUGGACAUCUCCUGUUGUGUGUGGAUGACUAUGUGGAUGAAGAGGGGGAAAUCCUUGCUGAGGAGCAGAGUGAACCCUAUCCUCACAUACAAGAUGGGGAGGAGCAUGGAAGUGAUCAGGCCAGAAGUGAAAAACCAGAACACUUGUUAAUGAAACUUUUGGGCAUGAUGAAAUUGACUGGUAUCCUCCGUGACGACUUCUUACAGUAUGUGGGUUGUCCAAAAUGUAUGACAGUGUACAUGCUUACUGAAACCUAUGAGCUCAGACGGGAUGGUACAAAGGUUUGCAGGACUUGUGGUCACAUCCCAUUCUAUAAUCACCCACAGCAGAGGUCUGCAUUAAGGAAGAAAUGUGGCUCUGCCUUGCUAAGCAAGACUACAUAUUUGAGCAGUGAAGAGUAUGUCCAUCCAAUACGUUCUUACUGAUACAAGAGUGUUGUGCAGUCUCUGGGAGGACUUGUUAAAAGACUUGGAUUUGAAGAGAAAUUAGAUGAAAGGCGAAAGCGGGAAAUGCCAAAGGGUGUGUUAGGAGAUGUAUAUGAUGGACAAGUAUGGCAGGAUUACCAGUAUGUGAAUUCAAUAACUGUAGUCAUGCCACUAUGCACAGUAUUUGAGCUGUGAUGUAAUUGCACAAGUUUCCUUGCUUCAUUCCCUUCCAGACAGACAUUUUGUUGUUUGACAUGUUGUUUGCAUAGAAUGCACAAAUUGAGCCUGAUUAAAACUCUGUUAAAACAAUUAAAAUUGUUGAAAUAAA